CAUUCCCAGUUCUUUCUCUUCUCUCUUUUUU
This 31-nucleotide small RNA is filed under the name Arabidopsis thaliana (thale cress). Lineage: Eukaryota; Viridiplantae; Streptophyta; Magnoliopsida; Brassicales; Brassicaceae. The record is from RNAcentral.